Molecule: ribosomal RNA, 442 nt
Filed under: uncultured bacterium
Lineage: Bacteria
Description: partial 16S ribosomal RNA
Rfam family: Bacterial small subunit ribosomal RNA
Source: RNAcentral
CCUACGGGAGUCAGCAGUAGGGAAUCUUUCACAAUGGGCGAAAGCCUGAUGGAGCAACGCCGCGUGCAGGAUGAAGGCCUUCGGGUUGUAAACUGCUUUUAUAAGCGAGAAAUAUGAUGGUAACUUAUGAAUAAGGAUCGGCUAACUACGUGCCAGCAGCCGCGGUCAUACGUAGGAUCCGAGCAUUAUCCGGAGUGACUGGGUGUAAAGAGUUGCGUAGGUGGCAUAAUAAGUAGCUAGUGUAAUCUGGUGGCUCAACCAUUCAGACUAUUAGCUAAACUGUUAAGCUCGAGACCGUUAGGGGUAACUGGAAUGUCUAGUGUAGGAGUGAAAUCCGUAGAUAUUAGAAGGAACACCAAUAGCGUAGGCAGGUUGCUGGGACGGUUCUGACACUAAGGCACGAAAGCGUAGGGAGCAAACGGGAUUAGAUACCCUUGUAGUC